Molecule: ribosomal RNA, 301 nt
Filed under: uncultured bacterium
Lineage: Bacteria
Description: partial 16S ribosomal RNA
Rfam family: Bacterial small subunit ribosomal RNA
Source: RNAcentral
CAGCCGCCACGGUAAUACGUAGGUGGCAAGCGUUGUCCGGAAUUAUUGGGUGUAAAGGGCUCGCAGGCGGUUUCUUAAGUCUGAUGUGAAAGCCCCUGGCUCAACCGGGGAGGGUCAUUGGAAACUGGGAAACUUGAGUGCAGAAGAGGAGAGUGGGAUUCCACGUGUAGCGGUGAAAUGCGUAGAGAUGUGGAGGAACACCAGUGGCGAAGGCGACUCUCUGGUCUGUAACUGACGCUGAGGAGCGAAAGCGUGGGGAGCGAACAGGAUUAGAUACCCCGGUAGUCCCUGUCUCUUAUAA